RNAcentral lists this small RNA (113 nucleotides) under Marmota monax (woodchuck). The record is from RNAcentral. Lineage: Eukaryota; Metazoa; Chordata; Mammalia; Rodentia; Sciuridae.
GCAUGGUGGUAUGCGCUCCUAUAGUCCCACUGCCCGGGAGGCUGAGGUUGGAGGGUCACUUGAGCUCAGGAGUUUGAGAGCAGCCUGAGCAACAUAGUGGGACCCUGUCUCAA